Altererythrobacter xiamenensis is the source of this 82-nucleotide regulatory RNA element. It matches the Rfam family "ZMP/ZTP riboswitch aptamer (pfl RNA motif)". From Rfam's summary of the family: Previously known as pfl RNA. ZMP is also known as AICAR. Lineage: Bacteria; Pseudomonadati; Pseudomonadota; Alphaproteobacteria; Sphingomonadales; Erythrobacteraceae. The record is from Rfam.
AUUCGCUUGCGUGACUGACGAGACAGGCGGAGUACCGCCGGGGAGCGCAAGCCCUGGUUUGCCGCUCGUCUGGGCACCCUCC